AGUCAGUCGAGCUUCAACGCCUAGCGGGAUCUGUAGGGGCAGGGUCGACCUAGGAGCCGCUCCCCUGGGGCGAGGGGUUUUUGACUCUGCCCAAAGCGCCUCCGGUUUUUCAGCAGCUGAAAUUCACUGCACACAAAAACAAAACAAAAAAGGCUCCUCCCCACAGGCGGUUGUUUAGUUUGGGGGCUUUCUGCUUUCCUGUAGGUUGGAUGGUGGCCUUCAGAUUAGUACAUCAAUUGAGCUGCAAAAUAUAAGGGGUGAGAAAGAGCCAGAGCUGGACCCCCAGAGGGAUUUAGGUGCCUAACUGCCAUUUUAAACAUCUGCAUCCAAAAUUUAGAUCCUCAAAACCCAUGCUCUGGUGCCACCGAAUCUUAAAGGUGCCUUAAUUCCCUAGUCGCCUACAUUUAUACCAGUAAAGGCCCCCUAGUGCAUGUAUUUCUCCUGGUGGGCAUACGCACCACUGGCUCCAUCCUGUUCUGAAUGCCCAGCUCACAGUUUCAGCCACUGAUGUUGUUGCAUCAAAACCAACCCAUGUUGAGGAUGAACCAAGCUACACCUAUAGAACUUAUACUGGUUGCAAGCAGGGAUAAACUGCACCAAAGAAGGAACCAAAUCCUGCCAGGGACAAAGCACCUUAAAUUGCCAUUGAAAUCCAUGGGUGUUGAAGGUGCUUAGCAUCUUGCUGGAGGCGCUCACCAACAUGCAAAUUCAGGCCCUUUUUCCUUGGAGAAUGAUCCUCUCCUACAGCAAUAACUGCUUCAGUUAUAUACUUUUGAUUUUCUUUUAGAUGGUCUUUAGUCUCUUCUGUUGUGUUUCAUUCUAAACAUUCAGGGAGAGUCUGCCUCCUCUUUUUUGCGAAUAACAUUGUCAAUGUCUUGUUAUAUUUGUGCAUUAUUAGAGGUGGAACCUAGCAAAGUGCAUCUCGAGUUCUGUAAUUUUUACUUAGCGCUUCUAAUGUUUACUUUCACCUUCUUGUAGUUGCUGUGUUUUAUAAUCAAUAGAAAGAAUUCCCUGGGUAGGGUAUUGCCUUUUGUUUACCUUCUUUAAGAAUAUCUGAUUUUUCUUCUAUUAAAUUUACAGUGUCUGCCAUUAAAAUGUUGCUAAAAGAAC
Molecule: long non-coding RNA, 1110 nt
Organism: Mauremys reevesii (Reeves's turtle)
Lineage: Eukaryota; Metazoa; Chordata; Testudines; Geoemydidae
Exons: 3
Source: RefSeq, a predicted model, not a curated record